GCUGCUGGAAGAGAGUAGGUGAGUUGUGUUUAGUCUCUUUGCUAAAGAAAUUAGUCAAAGUUAAAAAGAUGUUUGAUGGCUAGUACUGUGGCUGUGACCCUAUAUGUACUGUUGAUGAAGUUAGGUGCUGUUCUGAGCAUUAUUCGUGGCUAUAGAGUGGCGUUUUGGUUGAGGUUUGUUUAUGGCUCCUCAGACCGCUGUGUAUUGCUAUCCUGCGGUUGUUACUUAAGUUGAUAUAACUAGAGAAGCAAGUGGUCGGCAACAUUAAUCUCUGGAGGGGGGUGUUUAACUCGGUGUGACAGUGUGUUUGACCCUAAAUUAAUUUUACGCUGGAAUAUCCCUUUAAGACCUGAAUCCUUAUCUGAGUUUGAUCUUGUUAGAAAUGGUUCAUAAGGUUAUUAGGAUGUCAGAUUUUCAUCUCAUGAUCAUCAGGAUCAUUUUGACAUUUUUCUGUCACAUGUUUAAGUUGUUUUAUGGUUGGAUCCAAAAUUACGGACUCACCCUUUAUUCUCUCCUCCAUACAAAGUGAGUUUAAAGAAGUUCAUUCAUUAAGCAAUAAUUCAUAUUAUACUGAGGAUAUAUUCACAGAUUAAGAUACUAAUCAAUCAUGUUUUUAGUCUAAUACUGAGAUAUGUCUCUUAUAAACACUGCUGUUUGACCACCCUGAGGAAAAACUCACAUUUCGCCGUAGAAAAGCCUUUUAAAACUUUAAAAUGUCUUAAUUUCUGUAAUAAAUUUCCUCCUAAACUCAUCUGUUUCUUCUCAUUCUUGUUAAAAUUAUUUUAAAUUGAAAAUCAGAUUUCUAUUAUGAUUUAAUCUAAUUGAUCUAACUGUAGCUCUUUAAUGCCUGAAGCCACAAAUUAUGGCCAGAAAAUUCCCAUUUUUUUGGAGCUGAAAUGUUUAAUUUACUUUACUUUACUUUAAUUUACAUUUAUCGGACUGUAUUCAGGUGUUUUUUUAGUAAUUUGUUGAUCAUAUUGAUUUGAUAGAAGUAUAUAAAAGUAUGAAUAAAAUAUGAUAUAAAAGGCAUUAAAGGGUUAAUAUCUUCUAUUAUGAUUAAUUUCAACUCAAUAAAAACGUUUCUGUUUAAUUAUUUUCUGGUUAGUUUGGUCUUAAUCAGAUUUAUGAAAUAAUUUGUUAAAUAUUUCAAAGUUGGAAAAAAAAUGGUCAGUUUCACUGACAGCGCAAUGCAUGAUGGGACAGUCCAUGUAUUAUCCGUCCAUUCAAUUAUUCCCAUGAUCCUCAGCGACAGUGACCAUGGCGAAAGAUGUGACAGAGCGGUUCGAGCGCCAAAAUCUUACGUUGUAAUAGAGCUCUGGUUGUAAUUUUUUCUACAGUCAUAUCUUCCUUCUUCAGCGUGACCCUCCUGGCAGCUUUGAAUAAUACGUAGGAAGAUGCUUCCAUCUCCAUGACAGCAGGUUAGCCUUUCUCUAGUGCUUUUGCCUGGAGUUUUUGGUCCACGUUGUUGGCUACUUUGUGGUGCAAUGCACAUGUGCGAACAGUAGAAAGGCACCGUGGGAAAUGGGGACAUCAAUAACCCGAAAAACGAAAAAGUACAUUUAUUAUUUUGUUUUGGUUUCCUUCUCUAUCAUAUAUUCUGUUUGAACUGAAAAUGCGAAAACAAACACUCAUCUUUUAUUUUUUGGUUAUAUGGAAAAACAAAUAAACAAAAUAUUGACUCAUUUUUUCAUUUUUCGUUUACUGGAUUGAAUGGAAUAAUUGAAUGGACAUGGACCCUGGGAUAUAUAGUUCAGUUAGUGAUUACAUUUGAAACUCCAGAUUCAUUUUUAAGAGCACUAUUCGGCAAAUAGUGAUUGAUUCUGGACCAUAGACUGUAUAUACUAUGGACAACUUGGUUCCACCUACCGCCUGUAUAUGGAUUUGAAGCCAAAAAGCUCUCGGGAAUUCUGGGAUUUUUCUUCAUUUCCUGAAACCAGCGCUGCACAGUAGCAAUGAGCGCAUUCGGCCACACAGUCGCAGAGAGUCGCUGUGAUGACACUCUGUUCAAACAGCGUAUCCCCCUGGUGAACUAUGCAAUCCCUGAACGUCCAUAGGCUCUAUCAGGUGUCAAUCAUAGAAAACAUGAACCCCCUAAUAACUUUGAAAAACGGAGCUUCACAGAAAAAAAAGGACUUGAGCACAAACCAGUCUUACAAUAACUACAUGUCAACAUCACAAGCAGGGGGGAGAAAAAUUUAUGUUCUGCGUAAUAAAUUUCUAAAGUUUGUCCACAGCUCCAUAAGCUUUGCUGGCGGAGGCGGGUUUUAUGACCUACACUGCAGCCUAUCAACAGAGGGUGCUGUUCUCGGAGUGGCUUCACCCAGCGAGGAGGCAGACUCUGUCCCUUCUAUAUACAGUCUAUGUUCUGGACACAGUCUUUGUCCUACAUUGUGAAAUCUGCUUUUAUUUUGAAGUCUGGGCCACUUCCUGUAGAUCCUGAGCUACAGAACUGAAUAAAACUGUUAAAUAACCUUUAAAGAGUCUGAUGGGUCAAAAACCCAAACAGGAACAUGCCCUGACAUGGUUUUAAAUCUCUGAAUAAGGAGGCUACAGCUAGCUUAGCUCUGGGACCAUUAUUAUCCUUCAAGUCUGACAGAAUUUCAGUCAGAGAGAGUUUUCUGUCAAAGAGGGAAAUAUUUAUAAACCAUCAACAGUUUUUACGUCUGCCCCUUUACAGCUGCUGAUAAAAAUAGGAACUUUAUCUCACUGAACAUGAAGCUGCCAGCCGACUGACCUAACCUGCUGGUAUGUGUGUUAUUGUGUCCCACACAAACAAACAAAUACUGUAGACGGCCUGAAACUGUCUCUCCUGCCUCAGUCCGGAGAAUUUUAUAGAGCAGCUCUGUAGAAAAAACAACAACAAUAUAUAUAUAUAUAUAUAUAUAUAUAUAUAUAUAUAUAUAUAUAUAUAUAUACCAACACUCUUAGAGGAGUUCAGUGGACUUUAAAUCCAAAUCCUGUAUGGACUAGGGGCUCUAUUUUCGUGUGCGCCGGUGAGGCGGCGGAGGGCGGCGAGCCCCGCGCAGUUGUAUUUUCGUCUGGCGGAGCCCGGCGUAAGGCCAGUUUGGUAUUUUCGUGGACUGAGCCGCACGGAGGCGAGCCGAGAUCCGCCAAGCUGGGCGUGGUGGCGUGGCAGGGGGAGGUGUUGACAGAAUCAGCAGGCACAGUGACAUUUUCGUGCUCGCCACCGGUGUGUAAAGUGCGCUGAAAGCUCGCCGAUUCAAACCUGGUCAGCUUUCAGCGCAAGGCGGAACGCAGCUGGUCUAGUAGUAUUUUGGUAGACCGGCGGUGUAUCGACAUACGUCACUGAUGCCUCACCGGCAGGUUUCCACAGUGUCAGGCACAUUUCAGUGCAAUAAGUAAUCAUCAUCAACUAUUAAUCUGAGACAGCACAUAUAUUUAGAUCUUUAUCGAUAUAUUCUGAUCUAUAUCUGAUCUGAUGAGCGCGUUUGGCACGCGUUUGGACACACAACCUGACCGAAUCAACACAGCUGAAACCGCAUCAAAUUAAAUUAAAUAUCUAGUAAAUAGACACACAUGAUGAAGUUAACAAGAUAUGUAAUUCGUCUCCCUCCUUUUCUUUCUUCCUCUUCCUCUUAUUUCUCGCACAGCUCGACCUGGACACGUCUCCGUGUCCUCUGUCCGUCUUGCUGCUGCUGCGGCUGAACAGAUGAUUUGUUUCAGUGCUCAGAUGCGUUACCUACUUUAAGCCGGCAUACGGAUAUUAUAAAAUUCAGUUUUGUGGGCCAAAUUUAUUUUAUAUGCCAACAUCUAUGAAAGAAAGAGCCAGGCCACGGAGUGCGAUGCGUCAUUCACGCACAGAUGGUUCCGAUUUUAAUGCCAUUUUUGGAGUUUAUGUUGUGAUCUGUGCGCUCAAUCCACCUUUGUCACAUGAGGUUUGAAUAUGUGCAACUUUAUGUGAGUGUCUUUAUUUGUGGAAAAGGGUGUUUGUCUUACCACUGGGUCCAACAUUACACACACCAAAUCCAUCUGUGCUCAUAUGAGAGGGUGUGGAGGACACUUGUUGAGGAGCUGCCCUCUGUCACCAUCUCGUGGCAUUACUGUCUUAAGACAUCUCUUGAUCUCUUUGACUACUUCAUGAAAAUAGUAAUACGCCUCGCCUGUGGCGGAUUUAAAGGCAAGGAGAGGAGCUUAUGUGAUUGGUGAAAACAGGUCUCGGCUGUGUUAAACCCACUACAUGCCCUCUCUCCUCCCCGUCUAUUACUUAUGCUGCUGGGAGGAGCUGAGUUAUGGAGGGGGGAUACUUACGCCGGGCUGCGCAGCUCACCAAAAUACCAAAAUGUGCUUGGGAACGCCUUGUCAGCGCGGCGGAUCUGACUGACGCUGCGCUUGCGGCACGUCUCCGGCGAGGCACGAAAAUAGAGCCCUAAAAGUCAUCUUGACCUAAAAUAUGAAAGCUCAAAAUUUACUGAGCGUAUUUAUGUUUUAUCGUAUGUCAUGUUCACCUGACAGGUACAGAUCUACAAACUAGAGCACAUUUCACUGGAGGCAGCUGUUUGUCCUCUUCACAAACUAUUCAGGCUGAAAUUCUCAUUUUGGUUUCUGUGUUUUUUUACCUUACAUGUUGUGUAAGCUCAUUUCAUCAUAUCUUAUUGUACGAUAUCAUACAGUAUUUUAUAGUAUUAUACUGCAUUAAAUCGUACUAUAUCAUAUCACACUCUUUUCUGUCACAUUGUACAGUAGUAUACUGUUUUAUUGUAUCCUAUUGCACUGUGUCAUAUCAAAUCAUAUUCAAUCAAUUCAAUACUGUAUGGUAUAAUACAGCAUUGCUCAGUGUUGUAUCAUAUAGUACAGUAUAAUACUGUAUUGUAUAGUUUUAUACAGUAUCUUAUCGUAUCAUAUCGUAUCGUAUCAUAUAGUAUCAUACUGUAUUGUUUGGUAAAUACAGUAUCUUAUUGUAUUAUACAGUAUCUUACAGUGUCGUACAGUACCGUACUGAAUUGUUAGAUAUCGUACAGUAUUGUAUCAUAUCAUAUUGUACAGGUUAAUACAGUAUUGCACUGUAUUGUUAGGUAUUAUACAGAAUUGUAUCGUAUUUUACAGUAUCAUAGUGUGCUGUUAGGUAUCACACAGUAUCAUAAUUUACAGUAUCAUUUACUCUGUUAUUAAAAGACUUGUGUUGUAUUUUCGGUCAUAUUUCUGGGUGUCAUGUGUUCAGACUUCCAAACCUCCGACCAUAAACCACCUUCAGUUUGGAUCACUCAGUCUGAAACCUCAGCCUCUGCCAGUGAACACCACUUUAGGCGACGGGUUGUUUCCGUCCCUGUAAACAAGUCGAGGAGUCUAAUCAGGACGAGGCCUUCGACCAAUCAGAACAAAGACGUUUACUGACUUUAAAACUUCCUCUAAAAUCAUUUCCUAUCCACCUUUGGGGGUCUUUUUAAUGGGAAUCCAGCAGGUUUAGAUUGAAGGUGUCAGUUCUAGUAGAAAUAUCUCCUGAAUGACAAACAGAGCUGAAACGAGCGUCGCUUUAAAACAAAGAAGAGCUUCAAAGUCGAGUUUAGGAGGAGUAGACGUGUCAAAUUCAGUCUGAAUCCAAUGUCACCGUAUCACUCAGGCCUGUAAGGCCCUCAGUUUGACCUGCUUUAAAUAAAACCACCGUUAAACACGUGAGGACAAACACACACAGGAAACACACUCUUCAGCCUACCUGCGAAAAGGUGGAGCAGCUUCAGAUCCAGAGAGAGAAUAAAAGAUCCUGAGAGUCCUGCUGUCACACAAACACAACCACAGACCCACACACUGACUGCAGGGCAGGCUGAAAUAGAGUGACACACACUCACACACACACUCGCUGAUAAGAAACACGGCCGGCUGACAGACGAGGCCUCUAUAAAUAUCUGCAGGGGGGCAGGGGGGACGGGGGACAAGACCCUGUUUGGAGAAGAAAGACCGAGACCAGACGACCAGAAGAAGAGCAGUGGGAGACGUUUGGAGGAUUUCAAGAACCUGAACUCAAUAAAUUAAUCCGUUUGUGUGAGUUAAACUGAGACGACGUGGGUUUUAAUGUGUGUCACUGAAGGGGGGUCAUGUGGGGCGGGGGCUGGGGGGUUAAUGGACGCCGGCUGUCCUGUCAGAGGACACAUGUGCACAUGUGCAGAUCUGCACCGCAUCAGCUGUCCAGUUUGAUGGACAGCUCCAACUGGGGGAGAGGUGAGGAGUAGGAGGAGGAGGAGCUGGUGUCUUUGAGGAAGAAUGGGGGGAGGGUAUCAGAGACCACAUCCAGGAAAAACACAAAACAGUUUUUUUUUUGUUUUUUUUUUAACGCCUGGUUUAAAGGGAUAUUCUGGUGUAAAAUUAAGUUAGGGUCAAACACACCGUAACACCGAGUUAGACACCCUCGUCGAGAGAUGAAUGUUGCCGACCGCUUGCUUCUCUAGUUAUACCAACUUUAAUAAUGAUACAGUGGGGUGACGCAGCUCAGGGAAGAACAUUUAUGAUCAUUUCUUCAUGGAAAUACAAUCAGACCGAGACACUUAGGCAGAAGAACUACCACAUCUGCAGUGCAAAUUAUUAAUAUGAUGAUAAUUACUUCAAGGCCAGUCCAUUACGGACUACAGCGGGGUGACGCAGCUCAAGCAAGAACAUUUAUGAUAAUUUCUUUAUCAUUUCCUUGAAGUAAUUAUCACCAUAUUAAUCAUUUUGCUGCAGAUGCGGUAGUUCUUCUGCCUUAGUGUCUCAGUUUGAUUGUAUUAUAAAUGUUCUUCCUUGAGCUGCGUCACCCUGCUGUAGUCCGUAAUGGACUGGCCCGAGGUCUCACUACAAACAAGCGGCUGCUGGAAGAGAGUGGGUGAGUUGUGUUUAGUCUCUUUGCUAAAGAAAUUAGUCAAAGUUGAAAAGAUGUUUGGUGGCUAGUACUAUGGCUGGGACCCUAUAUGUCCUGUUGAUGAAGUUAGGUGCUGUUCUGAGCAUUAUUUGUGGCUAUAGAGUGGUGUUUUGGUUGAGGUUUGUUUAUGGCUCCUCAGACCGCUGUGUAUUGCUAUCCUGCGGUCGUUACUAAAGUUGGUAUAACUGGAGAAGCAAACGGUCGACAACAUU
This 7059-nucleotide long non-coding RNA is filed under the name Xyrichtys novacula (pearly razorfish). Lineage: Eukaryota; Metazoa; Chordata; Actinopteri; Labriformes; Labridae. The record is from RNAcentral.